RNAcentral lists this ribosomal RNA (468 nucleotides) under uncultured bacterium. Its description in RNAcentral is "partial 16S ribosomal RNA". It matches the Rfam family "Bacterial small subunit ribosomal RNA", at positions 28 to 507 of the family's 1533-position model. The record is from RNAcentral.
GACGAACGCUGGCGGCGUGCUUAACACAUGCAAGUCGAACGGAAAGGCCCUGCUUUUGUGGGGUGCUCGAGUGGCGAACGGGUGAGUAACACGUGAGUAACCUGCCCUUGACUUUGGGAUAACUUCAGGAAACUGGGGCUAAUACCGGAUAGGAGCUCCUGCUGCAUGGUGGGGGUUGGAAAGUUUCGGCGGUUGGGGAUGGACUCGCGGCUUAUCAGCUUGUUGGUGGGGUAGUGGCUUACCAAGGCUUUGACGGGUAGCCGGCCUGAGAGGGUGACCGGCCACAUGGGGACUGAGAUACGGCCCAGACUGCUACGGGAGGCAGCAGUCGGGAAUAUUGCACAAUGGGCGGAAGCCUGAUGCAGCAACGCCGCGUGCGGGAUGACGGCCUUCGGGUUGUAAACCGCUUUCGCCUGUGACGAAGCGUGAGUGACGGUAAUGGGUAAAGAAGCACCGGCUAACUACGUG